This 494-nucleotide ribosomal RNA is filed under the name uncultured bacterium. Its description in RNAcentral is "partial 16S ribosomal RNA". It matches the Rfam family "Bacterial small subunit ribosomal RNA", at positions 28 to 507 of the family's 1533-position model. The record is from RNAcentral.
GACGAACGCUGGCGGCGCGCUUAACACAUGCAAGUCGAACGGAAAGGCCUGCUUUCCCUUGUGGAUUGCGGGUACUCGAGUGGCGAACGGGUGAGUAACACGUGAGUGAUCUGCCCCCAACUUGGGUAUAAGCCUGGGAAACUGGGUCUAAUUCCCGAUAGGACUGCAGGGUGGUGCCUGUGGUGGAAAACGAUUUUCUAGUGGUUGGGGAUGAGCUCGCGGCCUAUCAGCUUGUUGGUGGGGUAAUGGCCUACCAAGGCGGCGACGGGUAGCCGGCCUGAGAGGGUGGACGGCCACAUUGGGACUGAGAUACGGCCCAGACUCCUACGGGAGGCAGCAGUGGGGAAUAUUGCACGAUGGGCGGAAGCCUGAUGCAGCGACGCCGCGUGGGGGAUGACGGCCUUCGGGUUGUAAACUCCUUUCGACCGCGAGGAAGCCACCUGGUUGGAAGGGUGGUGACGGUAGUGGUAGAAGAAGCACCGGCUAACUACGUA